This 290-nucleotide ribosomal RNA is filed under the name uncultured bacterium. RNAcentral's name for it is "partial 16S ribosomal RNA". It matches the Rfam family "Bacterial small subunit ribosomal RNA", at positions 29 to 309 of the family's 1533-position model. The record is from RNAcentral.
AACGAACGCUGGCGGCGUGCUUAACACAUGCAAGUCGAACGGGUUUAUUGGAUGUAGCAAUACAUUCAAUAGAUUAGUGGCGCACGGGUGAGUAACACGUAUGCAACCUACCCUGUACAGGGGGAUAACCCGGAGAAAUUCGGACUAAUAUCCCAUAAAGAUAUUUGAGGGCAUCCUUGGAUAUUUAAAGCUCAGGCGGUACGGGAUGGGCAUGCGGAACAUUAGCUAGUUGGCAGGGUAACGGCCUACCAAGGCAACGAUGUUUAGGGGACCUGAGAGGGUGAUCCCCC